RNAcentral lists this unclassified non-coding RNA (251 nucleotides) under uncultured fungus. RNAcentral describes it as "sequence contains ITS1". Lineage: Eukaryota; Fungi. The record is from RNAcentral.
GCAAAAGUUCGAGCGCGCCCGAGCCCGACCCCUCCGGGGGGACGGUCGGAGGCAUCCCGACAAAGGGAAGUCGAAGCGGCGGACCGCCGUCGGUCUCCGCCGCUUCGCCAGUCCGCAAACCCUUUCGGCGUACCAUACCCUUGUUGCCUUCCCGGGUCCAAGCGGCCUGGGAAGAGACCGAAACUAAUCUUUGUUAACCCGGUCGUCUGAAUCGGACGGUUCGCAUGCCGUCCGACCAAUUCGAAAGUUUA